RNAcentral lists this ribosomal RNA (531 nucleotides) under uncultured bacterium. Its description in RNAcentral is "partial 16S ribosomal RNA". It matches the Rfam family "Bacterial small subunit ribosomal RNA", at positions 355 to 878 of the family's 1533-position model. The record is from RNAcentral.
UAGGGAAUCUUCCNCAAUGGACGCAAGUCUGAUGGAGCAACGCCGCGUGAGUGAAGAAGGUUUUCGGACCGUAAAGCUCUGUUGUUGGUGAAGAAGGAUAGAGGUAGUAACUGGCCUUUAUUUGACGGUAAUCAACCAGAAAGUCACGGCUAACUACGUGCCAGCAGCCGCGGUAAUACGUAGGUGGCAAGCGUUGUCCGGAUUUAUUGGGCGUAAAGCGAGCGCAGGCGGAAGAAUAAGUCUGAUGUGAAAGCCCUCGGCUUAACCGAGGAAUUGCAUCGGAAACUGUUUUCUUGAGUGCAGAAGAGGAGAGUAGAACUCCAUGUGUAGCGGUGGAAUGCGUAGAUAUAUGGAAGAAUACCAGUGGCGAAGGCGGCUCUCUGGUCUGCAACUGACGCUGAGGCUCGAAAGCAUGGGUAGCGAACAGGAUUAGAUACCCUGGUAGUCCAUGCCGUAAACGAUGAGUGCUAAGUGUUGGGAGGCUUCCGCCUCUCAGUGCUGCAGCUAACGCAUUAAGCACUCCGCCUGGGG